This 67-nucleotide transfer RNA is filed under the name Pheidole tristis. Its description in RNAcentral is "tRNA-Thr". Lineage: Eukaryota; Metazoa; Arthropoda; Insecta; Hymenoptera; Formicidae. The record is from RNAcentral.
AGUUUUAUAGUUUAAUUAAAAUAUUAAUUUUGUAAAUUAAUGAUAACUUUUUUAUAGUUUACAACUA